UGGUUGCGGCCGUGUCGGCACGUGAGUGGUUUUGGAUCUGCAUGUCCUGGCGGGCUCUCUGCCUUUGCGCAGCCAACCGUCGGAGUUGCUUUCCUUUCAUUUCUUUUGGCCGAUGACAUUGGGUGUGUUGGUCACAUGCCCCGUUGCUUGUGCACCGAACCUGACCUGCUUGGAAUGCUAAGUUGCCUAUGUUUGUCGCGACUUGCUCCCCUUUUCCCAUGGGUGGAGGGGGCGCACGCUCAAUCGUUUCUCGUCGUCCCUCGAACGGCGGCCAAUGUGAGCCGUCCGUCUUUGAUCGGUCGUCGGGGAUGCGCCAGGGCUUUCGGAUGCUGUGGACGAAUGGGGUAUGGGGGCUUGUCCCCCCUCUCCUUCUUGGUUAUGAUUCGGCAUUCUAUGCUGCUCUCGGACGGCUGACGGUCGGCUUGCGAAAUGCACCUUGCUUUUGCGUCCUCGACGGGCGUGGUCGCGGGGUGUAUCGCAGUGCUGACGUCGCCUACGAUGUGCUACCUGGUUGAUCCUGCCAGUAGUC
RNAcentral lists this unclassified non-coding RNA (529 nucleotides) under Dichelostemma multiflorum. RNAcentral describes it as "partial external transcribed spacer". Lineage: Eukaryota; Viridiplantae; Streptophyta; Magnoliopsida; Asparagales; Asparagaceae. The record is from RNAcentral.